Molecule: ribosomal RNA, 315 nt
Filed under: uncultured eukaryote
Lineage: Eukaryota
Description: partial large subunit ribosomal RNA
Rfam family: Eukaryotic large subunit ribosomal RNA
Source: RNAcentral
AUAUCAAUAAGCGGAGGAAAAGAAACUAACAAGGAUUCCCCUAGUAACGGCGAGUGAAGCGGGAAGAGCUCAAAUUUGUAAUCUGGCUGCUUUGCGGUCCGAGUUGUAAGCUAGAGAAGUGUUAUCUGUGCUGGACCAUGUGUGAGUCUGUUGGAAUAUAGUGUCAAAGAGGGUGAGAACCCCGUUCAUAAUAUGGACUACCAGUACUCUGUGUUACACUCUCAAAGAGUCGAGUUGUUUGGGAAUGCAGCUCAAAUUGGGUGGUAAAUUCCAUCUAAAGCUAAAUAUUGGCGGGAGACCGAUAGCGCACAAGUA